GCUACCAUGCAGUCGAACGAAGCUCCCCGAAUUGAGUUUUCGGACAAGAGGAAGGGAUGACUUAGUGGCGGACGGGUGAGUAACGCGUGAGCAACCUGCCUCGGAGUGGGGGACAACAGUUGGAAACGACUGCUAAUACCGCAUAACGUGCAGAGGGGACAUCUCCUUUGCACCAAAGAUUUAUUGCUCUGAGAUGGGCUCACGUCUGA
Molecule: ribosomal RNA, 209 nt
Filed under: uncultured Eubacterium sp.
Lineage: Bacteria; Bacillati; Bacillota; Clostridia; Eubacteriales; Eubacteriaceae
Description: partial 16S rRNA
Rfam family: Bacterial small subunit ribosomal RNA
Source: RNAcentral